UGAGUAAUGUCUGGGAAACUGCCCGAUGGAGGGGGAUAACUACUGGAAACGGUAGCUAAUACCGCAUAACGUCUUCGGACCAAAGUGGGGGACCUUCGGGCCUCACACCAUCGGAUGUGCCCAGAUGGGAUUAGCUAGUAGGUGGGGUAAUGGCUCACCUAGGCGACGAUCCCUAGCUGGUCUGAGAGGAUGACCAGCCACACUGGAACUGAGACACGGUCCAGACUCCUACGGGAGGCAGCAGUGGGGAAUAUUGCACAAUGGGCGCAAGCCUGAUGCAGCCAUGCCGCGUGUAUGAAGAAGGCCUUCGGGUUGUAAAGUACUUUCAGCGGGGAGGAAGGCGAUGAGGUUAAUAACCUUAUCGAUUGACGUUACCCGCAGAAGAAGCACCGGCUAACUCCGUGCCAGCAGCCGCGGUAAUACGGAGGGUGCAAGCGUUAAUCGGAAUUACUGGGCGUAAAGCGCACGCAGGCGGUCUGUCAAGUCGGAUGUGAAAUCCCCGGG
RNAcentral lists this ribosomal RNA (504 nucleotides) under uncultured bacterium. Its description in RNAcentral is "bacterial SSU rRNA". It matches the Rfam family "Bacterial small subunit ribosomal RNA", at positions 107 to 607 of the family's 1533-position model. The record is from RNAcentral.